Neotoma lepida (desert woodrat) is the source of this 114-nucleotide small nuclear RNA. It matches the Rfam family "U1 spliceosomal RNA", at positions 1 to 115 of the family's 166-position model. Rfam says of the family: U1 is a small nuclear RNA (snRNA) component of the spliceosome (involved in pre-mRNA splicing). Its 5' end forms complementary base pairs with the 5' splice junction, thus defining the 5' donor site of an intron. The record is from Rfam. Lineage: Eukaryota; Metazoa; Chordata; Mammalia; Rodentia; Cricetidae.
AUACUUACCUGGCAGGGGAGAUACCGUGAUCACAAAGGUGGUUUUCCCAGGGUGAGGUUUAUCCAUUACACUCCAGAUGUGCUGGCCCCUGCAAUUUCCCCGAAUUUGAGAAAC